This 1234-nucleotide ribosomal RNA is filed under the name metagenome. RNAcentral describes it as "bacterial LSU rRNA". It matches the Rfam family "Bacterial large subunit ribosomal RNA", at positions 1564 to 2808 of the family's 2925-position model. The record is from RNAcentral.
UGAAUACGAGACGCUACGGCGUCGAAGCAGUCGAUGUCAUACUUCCAAGAAAAGCUUGCAAUGUCAUAAACAAAUAAUGCCUGUCCCAUAACCGACACAGGUGGGUAGGUAGAGUAUACUAAGGGGCGCGAGAUAACUCUCUCUAAGGAACUCGGCAAAAUGACUCCGUAACUUCGGGAGAAGGAGUGCCUUAUUUAUAAGGUUGCAAUAACAAGAUCCAAGCAACUGUUUAUCAAAAACACAGGUCUCCGCUAAGUCGUAAGACGAUGUAUGGGGGCUGACGCCUGCCCAGUGCCAGAAGGUUAAAGAAGUUGGUUAGCAUCCGCGAAGCUGAUAACUGAAGCCCUGGUGAACGGCGGCCGUAACAAUAACGGUCCUAAGGUAGCGAAAUUCCUUGUCGGGUAAGUUCCGACCCGCACGAAAGGCGUAAUGAUUUGGAUACUGUCUCGGAGAGGGACUCGGUGAAAUAGACUUGUCUGUGAAGAUGCGGACUACCUGCACCUGGACAGAAAGACCCUAUGAAGCUUUACUGUAACUUGAAAUUGAAAUUGGACUUUAUUUACGCAGUAUAGGUGGGAGGCGUUGAGAAUAUUCUUGCGGGAAUAUUGGAGUCAUCAGUGAGAUACCACUCUUGUAAUGUUAGAUUUCUAACUUUGCAUCAUUAUCUGGUCAAAGAACAGUUUCAGGCGGGCAGUUUGACUGGGGCGGUCGCCUCCCAAACGGUAACGGAGGCGUACAAAGGUUUCCUCUGAACGGGUAGAAAUCGUAUCUAGAGUGUAAAGGCAUAAGGAAGCUUGACUGUGAGACCUACAAGUCGAGCAGGGACGAAAGUCGGUCUUAGUGAUCUGACGGUGCUGAGUGGAAAGGCCGUCACUCAACGGAUAAAAGUUACUCUAGGAUAGCAGGCUGAUCUCCCCCAAGAGUUCACAUCGACGGGGAGGUUUGGCACCUCGAUGUCGGCUCAUCGCAUCCUGGGGCGGUAGUACGUCCCAAGGGUUGGGCUGUUCGCCCAUGAAAGCGGUACGCGAGCUGGGUUCAGAACGUCGUGAGACGGUUCGGUCCAUAUCCGGUGUAGGCGUUAGAAUAUUGAGAGGAGCCUUCUUUAGUACGAGAGGACCGAGAAGGACAUACCUCUGGUGUACCAGUUAUCGUGCCAACGGUAAACGCUGGGUAGCUAUGUAUGGAGAGGAUAACCGCUGAAAGCAUCUAAGUGGGAAGCCCACCUCAAGAUAAG